AUUGAACGCUGGCGGCAGGCCUAACACAUGCAAGUCGAACGGUAACAGGAAACAGCUUGCUGUUUCGCUGACGAGUGGCGGACGGGUGAGUAACACGUGGGUAACCUGCCCAAAAGAAGGGGAUAACAUUUGGAAACAAGUGCUAAUACCGUAUAACCAUGAUGACCGCAUGGUCAUGAUGUAAAAGGUGGUUUUGCUAUCGCUUUUGGAUGGACCCGCGGCGUAUUAACUAGUUGGUAAGGUAACGGCUUACCAAGGUGAUGAUACGUAGCCGAACUGAGAGGUUGAUCGGCCACAAUGGGACUGAGACACGGCCCAUACUCCUACGGGAGGCAGCAGUAGGGAAUCUUCCACAAUGGGCGCAAGCCUGAUGGAGCAACGCCGCGUGAAUGAAGAAGGUCUUCGGAUCGUAAAGUUCUGUUAUUAGAGAAGAACACGUGUAAGAGUAACUGAUUAUGCGUUGACGGUAUCUAAUCAGCAAGUCACGGCUAACUACGUGCCAGCCGCCGCCGUAACAC
RNAcentral lists this ribosomal RNA (518 nucleotides) under uncultured bacterium. Its description in RNAcentral is "bacterial SSU rRNA". It matches the Rfam family "Bacterial small subunit ribosomal RNA", at positions 30 to 526 of the family's 1533-position model. The record is from RNAcentral.